RNAcentral lists this ribosomal RNA (1231 nucleotides) under Pselaphinae sp. 7 EF-2015. RNAcentral's name for it is "16S ribosomal RNA". The stretch from base 1020 to 1179 matches the Rfam family "Archaeal large subunit ribosomal RNA", at positions 2542 to 2701 of the family's 2987-position model. The record is from RNAcentral. Lineage: Eukaryota; Metazoa; Arthropoda; Insecta; Coleoptera; Staphylinidae.
AAAAUAUUAAAGUUAAUAAUUAGAAAAAGUAAUUUUAUAUUUAUUUAAUAAUUAGUGAAGAAAUAAUGAUAUUGAUAAAUUAUUAGUAUUGUAGAAGAAUUAUUUAAAAUGGAUAUAAGUAGAUUAUUUAUUGUACCUUGUGUAUCAGGGUUUAUUAAAAAUUUUUAUAUAUUUUAAAUUUUUAGAAUUUUUAAGAGUGAGAGAAUUAUCUAUUUAAUUGUAAAAUAAAUUUUUAUAAUUUUUUUUUAGUAAUGAAAUGUUAUUCGUUUAAAAAUAUAUCUAAUUUUUAGGGAAAUAAAUUAAAUUUAAUGAUUUGUAUGUUAAUAAUUUUUAAAUAAUUAAUAUUAUAAAUUUUUAAUAUUUUAAGGGAUAAGCUUUAAAAUAAAUAAAUUAAAGUAAGAAUUUGUAUUAAAAUAUAUAUAAUUAUAAAUUUUAAAUAUUAAUAGUUUGUUAUAAUUAAUUUUAAUUUUAAUAUAAUUUUAAUUAAUUUAUAAUUAUUUAUUUAAAUAAUUUUAUUAAUAAUGUUUAAAAUUAAAUAAUGAUAAAAUUAGUAUAAAUUUAAAUUGUAAGUAUAAUUAAUUAUAGGUUAAUUAAAGGAAUUCGGCAAAAUUUUAUUUCGCCUGUUUAAUAAAAACAUGUCUUUUUGAUUAUAAUUUAAAGUCUAAUCUGCCCACUGAAAAUUUAAAGGGCCGCAGUAAUUUGACUGUGCGAAGGUAGCAUAAUAAUUAGUUUUUUAAUUGAAAGCUGGAAUGAAUGAUUGGACGAGAAUAAAGCUAUCUCUAUUUAAUUUAAUUAGAAUUUAAUAUUUAAGUUAAAAAGCUUAAAUAUUAUUUAAAGACGAGAAGACCCUAUAGAGUUUAAUAUUAAAAAUUUAUUUAAUUAUUAGAUUUAUUAUUUAAAUGAUAAUUAAAAUAUUUUGUUGGGGUGAUAGAAAAAUUUAUUUAACUUUUUUAUUAUUUAAACAAAAAAUUUUGUAUAUUUGAUCUUAAGUAUAGAUUAAUUGAUUAAAUUACCUUAGGGAUAACAGCGUAAUUUUUUUGGAGAGUUCUUAUUAAUAAAAAAGAUUGCGACCUCGAUGUUGGAUUAAGAUUAAGUUUUAAUGUAGAAGUUAUAAAUUUUAAGUCUGUUCGACUUUUAAAAUCUUACAUGAUCUGAGUUUAAACCGGUGUAAGCCAGGUUGGUUUUUAUCUUAAAUAGUUUAUUUUAUUUUAGUACGAAAGGACCAAAUAAA